Molecule: transfer RNA, 76 nt
Filed under: Patescibacteria group bacterium
Lineage: Bacteria
Description: tRNA-Ala
Rfam family: tRNA
About the family: Transfer RNA (tRNA) molecules are approximately 80 nucleotides in length. Their secondary structure includes four short double-helical elements and three loops (D, anti-codon, and T loops).
Source: RNAcentral
GGGCCCUUAGCUUAGCUGGUAGAGCGCUUCCAUGGCAUGGAAGAGGUCAGGAGUUCGAGUCUCCUAGGGUCCACCA